AAAUUCAUGACAGUACACCACAGCCAACCAUUUCCAAGUGGACAAGAGGCUGAAUGCAAAGUAAAGCACUGUACACCCAAAUGUGGUUUAGGCCUUAACCAUAUCCUUUAUUCUGACACUUCUCACAGGUGCUGGUAUCCGUGCUCCAUCCCACUCAGCAAUUUCUGCAGACUUCUCAGGCUGCCAGUCCCUAAAAGGAUCCACUUCAUCCAGCUCGGGGAAGAAAAGGAGCAAUGCUACUGACAGCAGGAAUCAGAAGCUUCGUGAACAACAGCACCAAAAGGCUGCCAGGCAUUAGAACAGAUACAGCUGGGCUGAACCAGCAUGAUUAGAUGGAACACAGUAUGUUACUGAAAGGUCAGUGAGUAUUAUUUCUCACACAAUGUGCCUCCUGAUUCAGUGGCGCGGUGCUCAGAUCUAAAUUUUGUUUUGUCAGUGACAGCAGGAUGCUGUUUUGCCUGGUGAGAGGGGUGAGUUGUCUCAGGUUUGUGAAUCAGGACCUCAGAGGCUUUCCACUGACCCCACGAAACCCUUCUCGUGACAUACAACGUCGGUAUCACUGUUGCCUUGUCAACAACAUGCACCCAGUGUGUGGAAGCACCGUCUCUCUGCACAACACCAGUGGAUGGCAGCAGAGAACCAGAGAAUGAAAAGGCCAAUUAUUUAAGCACACUUCCAGUAACUUCCUAGUCCUGUGUGAGGUCUAUCAGAGGGAUCUGGAAAUUAAUUAUUGUCCCUUUUGACCUAAUAGUGUGAAAGAGUGGCACUGCACGGGGCUGGGUCUCCCAUGACUGCUCGUGGCACCACAUUGGGUUUGGGGAGCCUCUCUGGGGGGCUUCACUCUCAGCUCUCCGCCUUUUCCCAGUGGAACUGCUGCUCUGGUUUAUGCAUCCGAGGAGCAAUGGAGGAGGAAAGCAGCGCACGAGACAGCGACCCUUAUAAAAAUGGUUUGUGCUUUAGAUUUCUAUGUAAAAAUAAACAUGUACAUUUAUUGUAAGCAGAAGAUAUUGGGGUCUGAGGAAAAUGAUCUGUGUGCCCAAGAAGGCCAACGCUAUCUGGGGCGCAUUAAAACGAGCGCGGCCAGCAGACUGAGGGAGGUAACUCUUGCCCCUCUACUCUGCCCUGGUGAGGCCACAUUUAGAACAGCGUGCCCAAUCGUCCGUUCCCGGCCAUCCCCGCCCCCGGCAGCCCGGCCCGGUCGGCCCUGUGACGGGGCGGGGCCGCCACCUCCCCUUCGGCAGCGGGCGGCAGCCGUGCGGCUCCGCGGCUAUGGGGCUGUGUCUGCCCUGCAUGGGGGGAGCCGUCAAGGACGUGGUGGAGACGCCCGACCCGGCUUCCUCUCGAGGCAUUAA
Numida meleagris (helmeted guineafowl) is the source of this 1352-nucleotide long non-coding RNA. The record is from Ensembl. Lineage: Eukaryota; Metazoa; Chordata; Aves; Galliformes; Numididae.